AAUCAUUUUUAAAGAUAUCCGUUCAGGGAAUAGUAAUGAAGAUCCACAAAUCACGAUAUAUGAUCCCAAGAUAAAAUAUUGUUUAGGAUUAUUAAAAGAAGCUCAAUUCUCCUUAAAUGAAACAGGGUUAAUUAAUUAUUGU
Molecule: long non-coding RNA, 142 nt
Organism: Sipha flava (yellow sugarcane aphid)
Lineage: Eukaryota; Metazoa; Arthropoda; Insecta; Hemiptera; Aphididae
Exons: 6
Source: RefSeq, a predicted model, not a curated record